UACGAAGGGGGCUAGCGUUGCUCGGAAUCACUGGGCGUAAAGGGUGCGUAGGCGGGUCUUUAAGUCAGGGGUGAAAUCCUGGAGCUCAACUCCAGAACUGCCUUUGAUACUGAAGAUCUUGAGUUCGGGAGAGGUGAGUGGAACUGCGAGUGUAGAGGUGAAAUUCGUAGAUAUUCGCAAGAACACCAGUGGCGAAGGCGGCUC
This 204-nucleotide ribosomal RNA is filed under the name uncultured Bradyrhizobium sp. RNAcentral describes it as "partial 16S ribosomal RNA". It matches the Rfam family "Bacterial small subunit ribosomal RNA", at positions 524 to 727 of the family's 1533-position model. Lineage: Bacteria; Pseudomonadati; Pseudomonadota; Alphaproteobacteria; Hyphomicrobiales; Nitrobacteraceae. The record is from RNAcentral.